This 78-nucleotide transfer RNA is filed under the name Cystobacter fuscus. Its description in RNAcentral is "tRNA-Gln". The record is from RNAcentral. Lineage: Bacteria; Pseudomonadati; Myxococcota; Myxococcia; Myxococcales; Archangiaceae.
CGGCGCGCAGGAUCGGUGAGGCGGGUCAGGCCCGCUCUGGUCGUACCAGGCGGCGGGUUCGAUUCCCGCCGCCUCCGC